RNAcentral lists this ribosomal RNA (497 nucleotides) under uncultured bacterium. RNAcentral describes it as "partial 16S ribosomal RNA". It matches the Rfam family "Bacterial small subunit ribosomal RNA", at positions 28 to 507 of the family's 1533-position model. The record is from RNAcentral.
GAUGAACGCUGGCGGCGUGCCUAAUACAUGCAAGUCGAGCGAACGGACGAGAAGCUUGCUUCUCUGACGUUAGCGGCGGACGGGUGAGUAACACGUGGAUAACCUACCUAUAAGACUGGGAUAACUUCGGGAAACCGGAGCUAAUACCGGAUAAUAUUUUGAACCGCAUGGUUCAAAAGUGAAAGACGGUCUUGCUGUCACUUAUAGAUGGAUCCGCGCUGCAUUAGCUAGUUGGUAAGGUAACGGCUUACCAAGGCAACGAUGCAUAGCCGACCUGAGAGGGUGAUCGGCCACACUGGAACUGAGACACGGUCCAGACUCCUACGGGAGGCAGCAGUAGGGAAUCUUCCGCAAUGGGCGAAAGCUUGACGGAGCAACGCCGCGUGAGUGAUGAAGGUCUUCGGAUCGUAAAACUCUGUUAUUAGGGAAGAACAUAUGUGUAAGUAACUAUGCACGUCUUGACGGUACCUAAUCAGAAAGCCACGGCUAACUACGUG